CUUUCCGUUUAUUUGCUGCUAUGGGCUCUCAGUGCUAUCAGCAGUUGUACAAAUGGGAUAAACUAAUAUUGGGCCAUUGUAAAUGCAGAUGAAGUAACAGUGUCAUCUCUCCUGCGUGGUCUAGAUGUUG
Molecule: small nucleolar RNA, 130 nt
Organism: Oryctolagus cuniculus (rabbit)
Lineage: Eukaryota; Metazoa; Chordata; Mammalia; Lagomorpha; Leporidae
Source: Ensembl